This 760-nucleotide ribosomal RNA is filed under the name uncultured Prevotella sp. RNAcentral's name for it is "bacterial SSU rRNA". It matches the Rfam family "Bacterial small subunit ribosomal RNA", at positions 28 to 776 of the family's 1533-position model. Lineage: Bacteria; Pseudomonadati; Bacteroidota; Bacteroidia; Bacteroidales; Prevotellaceae. The record is from RNAcentral.
GAUGAACGCUGGCUACAGGCUUAACACAUGCAAGUCGAGGGGAAACGACGGGGAAGCUUGCUUCCCCGGGCGUCGACCGGCGCACGGGUGAGUAACGCGUAUCCAACCUGCCUCUGACUGAGGGAUAACCCGUCGAAAGUCGGCCUAAUACCUCAUGGUAUCGUCUGCGGGCAUCCAACGACGAUUAAAGAUUUCAUCGGUCAGGGAUGGGGAUGCGUCUGAUUAGCUUGUUGGCGGGGUAACGGCCCACCAAGGCUACGAUCAGUAGGGGUUCUGAGAGGAAGGUCCCCCACAUUGGAACUGAGACACGGUCCAAACUCCUACGGGAGGCAGCAGUGAGGAAUAUUGGUCAAUGGGCGAGAGCCUGAACCAGCCAAGUAGCGUGCAGGAAGACGGCCCUAUGGGUUGUAAACUGCUUUUAUGCGGGGAUAAAGUGAGGGACGUGUCCCUCAUUGCAGGUACCGCAUGAAUAAGGACCGGCUAAUUCCGUGCCAGCAGCCGCGGUAAUACGGAAGGUCCUGGCGUUAUCCGGAUUUAUUGGGUUUAAAGGGAGCGUAGGCCGUGGAUUAAGCGUGUUGUGAAAUGCAGGUGCUCAACGUCUGCACUGCAGCGCGAACUGGUCCACUUGAGUGUGCGCAACGCAGGCGGAAUUCGUCGUGUAGCGGUGAAAUGCUUAGAUAUGACGAGGAACUCCGAUUGCGAAGGCAGCUUGCGGGAGCACAACUGACGCUGAAGCUCGAAAGUGCGGGUAUCGAACAGG